GCCAGACUCCUACGGGAGGCAGCAGUGGGGAAUAUUGGGCAAUGGGCGCAAGCCUGACCCAGCAAUGCCGCGUGAAGGAAGAAGGCCCUCGGGUUGUAAACUUCUUUUAUCAGGGACGAAGGAUGUGACGGUACCUGAUGGAUAAGCUCCGGCUAACUACGUGCCAGCAGCCGCGGUAAUACGUAGGGAGCAAGCGUUAUCCGGAUUUACUGGGUGUAAAGGGCGCGUAGGCGGGAUGGCAAGUCAGAUGUGAAAUCCAGGGGCUCAACCCCUGAACUGCAUUUGAAACUGUCGUUCUUGAGUACUGGAGAGGUUGACGGAAUUCCUAGUGUAGCGGUGAAAUGCGUAGAUAUUAGGAGGAACACCAGUGGCGAAGGCGGUCAACUGGACAGCAACUGACGCUGAGGCGCGAAAGCGUGGGGAGCAAACAGGAUUAGAUACCCGGGUACA
Molecule: ribosomal RNA, 450 nt
Filed under: uncultured bacterium
Lineage: Bacteria
Description: bacterial SSU rRNA
Rfam family: Bacterial small subunit ribosomal RNA
Source: RNAcentral